This 757-nucleotide small RNA is filed under the name Cryptococcus neoformans H99. RNAcentral's name for it is "Cryptococcus neoformans var. grubii H99 hypothetical RNA". Lineage: Eukaryota; Fungi; Basidiomycota; Tremellomycetes; Tremellales; Cryptococcaceae. The record is from RNAcentral.
UCCGUCUUUUAUACAUCUACUUACUAUUAUUAUACAACCUGAUCCUACUCCUCAUUAUUCGUACACCUCCCCUCCUCCCUGCUUGCUCCUUAUAUCUUUUACGUAAGAUCCAACUCCGGUGUUGAACGACCCGCCAUAGCACUACGAGUUCAGCGUACUAGUACGAGUACUGUACUUCUUGAAUUAAAUAAAUUCCAAUUGUUAUGAACUGGAGACCAGGGCGAUUAUUAAAAAGAAGGUGCCAGCUAAUAGAGCGAGUUAUUGCUGCUUCAUACAUUCAAGCACUUCUUGUACAACAGAAAUAUUGUACAUUUCAGGAUAAUUAUAUAGCGUAAGUGCGUCUUCUUCUCAUCCCGCCCGAUGAUUAUUAGGCUCGACAACACAAGCCUCUCGACGGAUAUCGAUCGGUCUCCGAUGAGGACGAGGUCCCGUCGAGGAGAGGCUUGUGUCGAGGUCGAUGUCCGUCGAGGGGCUUGUGUCGAGCCUACCCGAUGAUAACCAAUGACCACUGCAGCGGCCGAUAUCUCGACCGAAAAAAAAAAAAACACAAGCGCGAAAAAAACAGGAAAGGGAGAAAAUCGAAAGUCGAGAAUUGAAUUUGAGUUAUGGGUUGAGAAGGGUGGCUAGAUUCAAGUUCUCCGUCUUCCCAUGUCCCAGAUACGGGAAACCAGGACAGACCCUCCACUGUAUAGACAUUAUUACAGUAGAAGUGGAGAGUAGUAUUAGAGAACUGAGAUGAAUAGAACUUGAGAAUCCG